Molecule: ribosomal RNA, 59 nt
Filed under: Fusarium oxysporum
Lineage: Eukaryota; Fungi; Ascomycota; Sordariomycetes; Hypocreales; Nectriaceae
Also listed under: 5 other names
Description: partial 28S ribosomal RNA
Rfam family: Eukaryotic large subunit ribosomal RNA
Source: RNAcentral
UGACCUCGGAUCAGGUAGGAAUACCCGCUGAACUUAAGCAUAUCAAUAAGCGGAGGAAA